AUUUGAUCUAACAUAACAUAAGUUUUUUACUAUAUAAAGUGAUCACACAAUUAUAUAUUUACAAUUAUAUGCAAGUGUGAAAAAAUGGCUAGAAUUCCCAAGUUUGUUUAUGUUAUGAUCCUUUUUGUAUCCCUAUUCCUCAUAGUAGUUGAUGUUUGUGGAAAGUGCAAUUCUGACGCUGAGUGUAGAGAACGAUGGAUCAUGUGUCCCCUUGAAACAGUAGUCAAGUGUGUUGAGGAUGAAUGCAUAUGUGUUCACUAGUCAUGGACAAGCAAUGUUGGAUCACGUAGCUUGUGAAAGUGGAAUUAAGGCUUAUGCCAACUUUAUUUUUUAUUUUUUUUUUUAUUAUUGUUGGUUAUGUUAGAAUCCUUGGGAUCUAAUGUUGUUAUUUGUUUUAUUUUUAGCUUUGCAAACUUAUGAAUAAAAACAUUAUUGUAUUAUUUAUAUUUUGUAAAAUAAAGAUUAUGUUUUUAUAAUGUGAAAAACUAGUGUGCA
Medicago truncatula (barrel medic) is the source of this 495-nucleotide long non-coding RNA. RefSeq lists it as uncharacterized. The transcript has 3 exons. The record is from RefSeq and is a predicted model, not a curated record. NCBI's taxonomy places the organism in Eukaryota, Viridiplantae, Streptophyta, Magnoliopsida, Fabales, Fabaceae.